Molecule: non-coding RNA, 80 nt
Organism: Eptesicus fuscus (big brown bat)
Lineage: Eukaryota; Metazoa; Chordata; Mammalia; Chiroptera; Vespertilionidae
Source: Rfam
CUAGGGGAUACAGCAGCAAUUCAUGUUUUGAAGUUCUUUACAAUGGUUCAAAACGUGAGGCGCUGCUAUACCCCCUCGAG